UUUCCGUAGGUGAACCUGCGGAAGGAUCAUUAAUGAGUUGUCAUGGGGUUCGAUGCUGGCAGCCAAUUUUUGGAUGCAUGUGCUUGCCCUAACAAUCAUCUUCCAAACACCUGUGCACAUUUUUGAGGGAGUCUUGAGUUGGUUGCCGCUCUUGGGUGAUUUUCUCACAUUCCCUUAAAUCAUUAUACGCUAUUAACAAUGUUGAACGUGCUCUGUGCCGCAAGGCUAUUAAUAUAAUACAACUUUUAACAACGGAUCUCUUGGCUCUCGCAUCGAUGAAGACGCGC
RNAcentral lists this unclassified non-coding RNA (287 nucleotides) under plant metagenome. Its description in RNAcentral is "partial contains small subunit ribosomal RNA, internal transcribed spacer 1, and 5.8S ribosomal RNA". The record is from RNAcentral.